UGGCUCAGAUUGAACGCUGGCGGGAUGCUUUACACAUGCAAGUCGAACGGCAGCACGGACUUCGGUCUGGUGGCGAGUAAACGGGUGAGUAAUGUAUCGGAACGGCCUAGUAGCGGGAUAACUACGCGAAAGCAAAGGGAGACGCAUUGCCUUCGGGGAAAGUGGGGACCUUCGGCCUCGCACUAUUAGAGCGGCCGAUAUCGGAUUAGCUAGUUGGUGGGUAACGGCUCACCAAGGCGACGAUCCGUAAGCUGGUUUGAGAGGACGACCAGCCACACUGGGACCGAGAUGUUGCCCCGACUCCACGGAGGCAGCAGUGGGGAAUUUUGGACAAUGGGGAACUGAUCCAGCCAUCCCGGGCGUGUGCGAUGAAGGCCUUCGGGCGCUUAAAGCACUUUGGCAGGAAAGAAACGGCACGGGAUAAUUCGUGCAACUGACGGUACCUGCAGAAUAAGCACCGGCUAACUACGCGCCAGCCGCGGUAAUACGUAGGGUGCAAGCGUUAAUCGGAAUUACUGGGCGCAAGCGUGCGCAGGCGGUUCUGGAAAGAAAGAUGUGAAAUCCCAGAGCUUAACUUUGGAACUGCAUUUUUAACUACCGAGCUAGAGUGUGUCAGAGGGAGGUGGAAUUCCGGGCGUGUAGCAGUGAAAUGCGUAGAUAUGCGGAGGAACACCGAUGGCGAAGGCAAACGGAUAACACUGAUUACCGGCAAAAUUUGAAAGCGUGGGGAGCAAACAGGAUUAGAUACCCUGUAGUCCACGCCCUAAACGAUGUCAACUAGCUUUCGUUGGGGCCUUCGGCUUUGGUAGCGCAGCUAACGCGUGAAGUUGACCGCCUGGGGAGUACGGUCGCAAGAUUAAAACUCAAAGGAAUUGACGGGGACUUCCGCACAUGGAUGAUGUGGAUGACUGAUGCAAUGAAAAACGCAUACCUACCCUUGAUAGCACCUGGAAUCCCGAAGAGAUUUGGGAGUGCUCGCAAGAGAACCGGAACACAGGUGCUGCAUGGCUGUCGUCAGCUCGUGUCGAGAUGUUGGGUUAAGUCUCAAGUAACGAGCGCAACCCUUGUCAUUAGUUGCUGCAUGAAAGGGCACUCUAUCGAGACGCCGGUGACAAACCGGAGGAAGGUGGGGAUGACGUCAGUCCCGCGGCCCUUAUGGGUAGGGCUUCACACGUCAUACAAUGGUCGGGACAGAGGGUCGCCAACCCGCGAGGGGGAGCCAAUCCCAGAAACCCGAUCGUAGUCCGGAUCGCAGUCUGCACCCGACUGCGUGAAGUCGGAAUCAGCGUAGUAAUCGCGAUCAGCAUGUCGCGGUGAAUACGUUCCCGGUCUUGUACACGACCCCGCCCGUCGCCAAUCAUGGUGGGCUCUUACCAGAAGUAGUUAGCCUCAACCGCGAGUGCGGCGAUUACCACGGUAGAUCAAGGGAUCGGGGUGAAGUCGGCACGAA
Molecule: ribosomal RNA, 1450 nt
Filed under: uncultured Bordetella sp.
Lineage: Bacteria; Pseudomonadati; Pseudomonadota; Betaproteobacteria; Burkholderiales; Alcaligenaceae
Description: partial 16S-23S ribosomal RNA intergenic spacer
Rfam family: Bacterial small subunit ribosomal RNA
Source: RNAcentral